AGUAAAUAGAUACCCGGGUAGUCCAUGCCGUAAACGAUGAUUGCUAGGUGUGGGGGGUCUGACCCCUUCCGUGCCGGAGUUAAACACAAAUAAAGCAAUCCACCUGGGGAGUACGGCCGCAAGGUUGAAACUCAAAGGAAUUGACGGGGGCCCGCACAAGCAGUGGAGUAUGUGGUUUAAUUCGAAAGCAACGCGAAGAACCUUACCAGGUCUUGACAUCCACCGAAUCCUGUAGAGAUACGGGAGUGCCCUUCGGGGAACGGUGAGACAGGUGGUGCAUGGUUGUCGUCAGCUCGUGUCGUGAGAUGUUGGGUUAAGUCCCGCAACGAGCGCAACCCUUGUGAAUAGUUGCUACGAAAGAGCACUCUAUUCAGACCGCCGUUGACAAAACGGAGGAAGGUGGGGAUGACGUCAAAUCAUCAUGCCCCUUAUGACCUGGGCUACACACGUACUACAAUGGCCGUUAACAGAGGGAUGCAAUGCCGCGAGGUGGAGCGAACCCCUAAAAACGGUCUCAGUUCAGAUUGCAGGCUGAAACUCGCCUGC
RNAcentral lists this ribosomal RNA (546 nucleotides) under uncultured bacterium. Its description in RNAcentral is "bacterial SSU rRNA". It matches the Rfam family "Bacterial small subunit ribosomal RNA", at positions 775 to 1319 of the family's 1533-position model. The record is from RNAcentral.